Molecule: ribosomal RNA, 497 nt
Filed under: uncultured bacterium
Lineage: Bacteria
Description: partial 16S ribosomal RNA
Rfam family: Bacterial small subunit ribosomal RNA
Source: RNAcentral
GAUGAACGCUGGCGGCGUGCCUAAUACAUGCAAGUCGAGCGAACAGACGAGGAGCUUGCUCCUCUGACGUUAGCGGCGGACGGGUGAGUAACACGUGGAUAACCUACCUAUAAGACUGGGAUAACUUCGGGAAACCGGAGCUAAUACCGGAUAAUAUAUUGAACCGCAUGGUUCAAUAGUGAAAGACGGUUUUGCUGUCACUUAUAGAUGGAUCCGCGCCGCAUUAGCUAGUUGGUAAGGUAACGGCUUACCAAGGCAACGAUGCGUAGCCGACCUGAGAGGGUGAUCGGCCACACUGGAACUGAGACACGGUCCAGACUCCUACGGGAGGCAGCAGUAGGGAAUCUUCCGCAAUGGGCGAAAGCCUGACGGAGCAACGCCGCGUGAAUGAUGAAGGUCUUCGGAUCGUAAAACUCUGUUAUUAGGGAAGAACAAAUGUGUAAGUAACUAUGCACGUCCUGACGGUACCUAAUCAGAAAGCCACGGCUAACUACGUG